RNAcentral lists this long non-coding RNA (929 nucleotides) under Sorghum bicolor (sorghum). RNAcentral's name for it is "long non-coding RNA (SBIC_LNC016994)". Lineage: Eukaryota; Viridiplantae; Streptophyta; Magnoliopsida; Poales; Poaceae. The record is from RNAcentral.
GGCCGUGUCUUUGUUCCAUCGCACGCACGCUCCAAUCCCAUCCUGUAUCCCACCGGACGCACGGUGCUCGACCUCAACAUUUCAGUCCCCGCCUCUCUCUCUCUCUCUCUCUCUCUCUCUCUCUCUUCCCCCUGGUGACCGGCGACCGCGAGCUUCUCCCCGGUGUCACGCCUGCGCCCCACCGCCUCUCUAUGCCCGCGCCGAGCUCCUUGCUGCCCCCAUCCAUGCCGGCCAUGGCGGAUCCGUCGAAGAUUGGGGACUGCUGCCCCAACCAUAUGCCAGGUGUUCAUCGAUCCUUUGGCCGUUCACCGGCGACGACCACCCACCAGGUUCGUCCGCUCUUGCCUUUUCCUUCCCCUUCCUGCUGUGCGAAACCGAGCUCUCCAACCCUAACGUAAGAUAUUUGCUAUCUACCUCAGAUUUGUGCCGUAUUUGCAGUGGCGGCAAGCCGACCAACCAUGGCGUCCAGGAGGUUGGGGCGGCAUGGAUAUGCUCCCCCUGGAUGCUAGGGGCUGGCCCAGGUGGUGGCUAGCCGGACCAUCCAGCCCGUGGUGGCCAGCCUACCUCGCGGCCGUAAUCGAAGGCGCCACGGCUGUAGCGAGGAGGUGGGCUCUCGAUCGCCGAGAUGGAGGAGCGCAAGGAUGUCAGAAUCCUCGCCAUGGACAUCUAGUUCCCUCCCACAUGUGUCCGGUAGGUGAGACCCUCGUCCCCCACUUCGAUUAGAUACGUUCCCCACCAUGUUGUCUCAUGUGAUGUGGUAGUGCUCCAUAUGUGAGACUCUUGGCACCCGACUACCCGAUUGUGGAGAUUAGUAGCUACUGUGCUGUGAGGAUUUUUUAGGCCAGUUUGGCAGGUGAAAUUUCGGGUUUAGAAGGUGAUCGAAAUCGCAUCAGUUGGAAAAGUGCAAAUUACCGCUGCUGUUUUCACAU